AUACGAAGGGUGCAAGCGUUACUCGGAAUCACUGGGCGUAAAGCGCGCGCAGGCGGCUUGAUAAGUUGGAUGUGAAAGCCUACGGCUCAACCGUAGAACUGCAUCCAAAACUGUCAGGCUAGAGUGUGGGAGAGGAAGAUGGAAUUAGUUGUGUAGGGGUAAAAUCCGUAGAGAUAACUAGGAAUACCAAAAGCGAAGGCAAUCUUCUGGAACACUACUGACGCUGAGGCGCGAAGGCGUGGGGAGCAAACAGGAUUAGAAACCCUAGUAGUCC
This 274-nucleotide ribosomal RNA is filed under the name uncultured bacterium. RNAcentral's name for it is "partial 16S ribosomal RNA". It matches the Rfam family "Bacterial small subunit ribosomal RNA", at positions 523 to 796 of the family's 1533-position model. The record is from RNAcentral.